GGGGUCAUAGCUCAGUUGGGAGAGCAUCGCGUUUGCAACGCGAGGGUCGUCGGUUCAAGUCCGUCUGGCUCCA
RNAcentral lists this transfer RNA (73 nucleotides) under Planctomycetaceae bacterium. RNAcentral describes it as "tRNA-Ala". It matches the Rfam family "tRNA". From Rfam's summary of the family: Transfer RNA (tRNA) molecules are approximately 80 nucleotides in length. Their secondary structure includes four short double-helical elements and three loops (D, anti-codon, and T loops). Lineage: Bacteria; Pseudomonadati; Planctomycetota; Planctomycetia; Planctomycetales; Planctomycetaceae. The record is from RNAcentral.